UAUUUUGACUAUACAAAGGUAUUGUAAUAAGAUUUUAAUUGAAUGCUAAGAGAAUGGAAUUUCAGGGAAAAACUGUUUUAAACUUAAAAAUUAAAUUUAUUUUAAUUUGUGAAGAAACAAUUAUUUAAAUUAAGGACAAGAAGACCCUAAGAAUUUUAAAGAUAAUAAUUUUAAUAUUAAAAUUAUUAUCUUUUGGUUGGGGCAACUAAAAAAGAUUAUAAACUUUUUAUUUAAUAAAAUGAUCCAUUAUUAAUGAUAAUUUGAUAAAAAUACUCUAGGGAUAACAGCGUAAUAAUUUUUGAUAGAACAUAUAGACAAAAUAGUUUGCGACCUCGAUGUUGGAUUAGGAUACUUUUUUAAUGAAGAUGUUAAAAAAAGAAGUUUGUUCAACUUUUAAAGUCCU
This 403-nucleotide ribosomal RNA is filed under the name Dermacentor andersoni. RNAcentral's name for it is "partial 16S ribosomal RNA". Lineage: Eukaryota; Metazoa; Arthropoda; Arachnida; Ixodida; Ixodidae. The record is from RNAcentral.